CAGUAGCCACGGUAAUACGUAGGUGGCGAGCGUUGUCCGGAAUUAUUGGGCGUAAAGGGAGCGCAGGCGGACAUAUAAGUCCAUCUUAAAAGUGCGGGGCUCAACCCCGUGAGGGGAUGGAAACUGUAUGCCUUGAGUGCAGGAGAGGAAAGCGGAAUUCCCAGUGUAGCGGUGAAAUGCGUAGAUAUUGGGAGGAACACCAGUGGCGAAGGCGGCUUUCUGGACUGUAACUGACGCUGAGGCUCGAAAGCCAGGGGAGCGAACGGGAUUAGAUACCCCUGUAGUCCCUGUCUCUUAUACA
Molecule: ribosomal RNA, 301 nt
Filed under: uncultured bacterium
Lineage: Bacteria
Description: partial 16S ribosomal RNA
Rfam family: Bacterial small subunit ribosomal RNA
Source: RNAcentral